GAUGAACGCUGGCGGCGUGCCUAAUACAUGCAAGUCGAGCGAACAGACGAGGAGCUUGCUCCUCUGACGUUAGCGGCGGACGGGUGAGUAACACGUGGAUAACCUACCUAUAAUACUGGGAUAACUUCGGGAAACCGGAUCUAAUACCGGAUAAUAUAUUGAACCGCAUGGUUCAAUAGUGAAAUACGGUUUUUCUGUCACUUAUAUAUGGAUCCGCGCCGCAUUAGCUAGUUGGUAAGGUAACGGCUUACCAAGGCGACGAUGCGUAGCCGACCUGAGGGGGUGAUCGGCCACACUGGAACUGAGACACGGUCCAGACUCCUAAGGGAGGCAGCAGUAGGGAAUCUUACGCAAUGGGCGAAAGCAUGACGGAGCAACGCCGCGUGAGUGAUGAAGGUCUUCGGAUCGUAAAACUCUGUUAUUAGGGAAGAACAAAUGUGUAAGUAAAUAUGCACGUCUUGACGGUACCUAAUCAGAAAGCCACGGCUAACUACGUG
Molecule: ribosomal RNA, 497 nt
Filed under: uncultured bacterium
Lineage: Bacteria
Description: partial 16S ribosomal RNA
Rfam family: Bacterial small subunit ribosomal RNA
Source: RNAcentral